This 214-nucleotide ribosomal RNA is filed under the name Monocirrhus polyacanthus. RNAcentral's name for it is "partial small subunit ribosomal RNA". The record is from RNAcentral. Lineage: Eukaryota; Metazoa; Chordata; Actinopteri; Polycentridae.
UUGUUGGUAAAUCUCGUGCCAGCCACCGCGGUUAUACGAUAGACUCAAGUUGACAAACAUCGGCGUAAAGCGUGGUUAAAAAAAAUUACUAAACUAAAGCCGAACGCACUCCAAGCUGUCAUACGUUCUUGAAGAUAAGAAGCCCUAUAACGAAAGUAGCUUUAACCACUUGACCCCACGAAAACUGAGAAACAAACUAGGAUUAGAUACCCCA